AUUUCUAAGGUGUAACCUGCCCAAUGGUUUUGAAGUAAAAACAUGUAAAAAAUGUUAAACAAGACUUAAAGGACGCAGUAACCUUGACUGUGAUAAUGUAGCAUAAUCACUCGCCAUUUAAUUGAUGGAUAGUAUGAAUGGUUGAACGAAUAUUCCACUGUCUUAAGAAGAAAUAAACAAAAAUUAAAAUAAUAGUUAAGAUGCUAUUUUAAACUGUAAGACGAAAAGACCCUAUAGAGCUUAACUAUAGUCUCCUCGAAAUAAAAGAAAAGAAAAUUCCUAAAAGAGGAGAUUGGUAGUUUAGUUGGGGCGACUAUCUUCUAAAAUCAACGAAGACAAGCAAAGUUAAUAGAAAACUUAUUGUAUAAUUAAUCAAUUUAACAAUUACAAAAGUAGGCUAUAAUGACCCGUUGAAAAUUUAUAGAAAUUUCAACGAUCAAUAAAUAAAAGCUACCUUAGGGAUAACAGGAUAAUUUCAUUCUAGAGAUCUCAUCGAAAAUGAAGUUUGUCACCUCUAUGUUGAAUUAAGAUAUCCUGGCAAUGCAGCAGUUGCCAAUGGUAGGUCUGUUCGACCUUUAAAAUCUU
This 585-nucleotide ribosomal RNA is filed under the name Hebella contorta. Its description in RNAcentral is "partial 16S ribosomal RNA". It matches the Rfam family "Bacterial large subunit ribosomal RNA", at positions 1843 to 2597 of the family's 2925-position model. Lineage: Eukaryota; Metazoa; Cnidaria; Hydrozoa; Leptothecata; Hebellidae. The record is from RNAcentral.